UGGGGGCGGGGAGCGGAAAGAAGAGUUGGGAGGAGUGCAGGCGGAGUUGGGGGAGGGCCCACGCAAAUCUAGAAAGAGGAUGUGUGGGAACUAGGUGGGCUGGGCAAGGUUUGGGCUUGGGCCGGCCUGAGGUUUAGGCUCGGAACUCGCCGGGGCCAGGCCCAGAGUCUCCGAGGUCAUCGGUUCCCACCCUACCCAAUAAGUAAUCGUCACGGGGUCGGAGGUUGAAGUCAGUGUGCUGGGUGCUUUGGGAAUACUGGAUUUAGGGGAGGACGGAAGUUGCUCACCUCUAAAUUUUCGCUUAAUUCUGCCUUCAGUUCUUAAGGUACUGAAAAUUUCCAACUUUUGAGGACUGAGGAAGCCAGGAAUCAACCGGCGAAGAGGAAUCUUGAGGAAAGGAAACAGGCAUCCAGGCUUCCCACUCCCGUGACUGAUCUCAUCUUUUAUCAACAUUCCGCUCUUCCCCAGGCAGUUGAUUAUUAAACUUAGUUUCUCAAAAUGUCUCUCACCUCCACUCCCUCCCUUUCAUUCAUUCUUUCAGCAAAUAUUUAUUGAGUAGGCUCUGUGUUCAGUGCUGGAGACACAGCAAGAACAAGACAGACGGGGCCCUGCCGUCUUGGAGUUCACAGUCGUUGGAGACAGAACCAAGCUGACCUCAACCAGAUGACAGCCAGCCACGGAAUCUGUUUAUCUGGCCUAUCCUGGCCUGCCUCCCGGGACACAGAGGAGGUGGAGAGGACAGAAAGUCAACCUGGAGGAGCAAAUAGAAGAUAUCUACCCGACUCUCCUACCCAAGAACAGGAAAGGACUUAAUUGUUUACCAAUAUUAUAAACAAAGAAGUGGUACUUAAAAGUGCAUUUCUGAAGGGGGAGAGUAUAGCUCAGUGGUUAGAGUACAUGCUUAGCAUGCAUGAUGUCCUGGGUUCAAUCCCCAGUAUCUCCAUUAAAGUAACUAAAUAAAUGUAUCACUGUGCUUUGCUUUUGUCACUUAGCAUUAGGUUCUCAAGACCUAAACAUGCUCAAAAAUCACAGCUAUGGUUCAUUUUCAUAUCGUGAUGCUACUCCAUUGCCUGAAUAUAUGACAGUGUACUUACCUAAUUUAUUUCUGUAAUACACAUUGAGAUCAUAGGUCUUUUCCUCAAUGCUGCAGCGAACAUCCUAGAGCAUCUCACGGACACAGUAGUAAGAAUC
Molecule: long non-coding RNA, 1191 nt
Organism: Camelus dromedarius (Arabian camel)
Lineage: Eukaryota; Metazoa; Chordata; Mammalia; Artiodactyla; Camelidae
Exons: 3
Source: RefSeq, a predicted model, not a curated record